Molecule: ribosomal RNA, 509 nt
Filed under: uncultured bacterium
Lineage: Bacteria
Description: partial 16S ribosomal RNA
Rfam family: Bacterial small subunit ribosomal RNA (bases 20-331)
Source: RNAcentral
GACGAACGCUGGCGGCGUGCUUAACACAUGCAAGUCGAACGGAAAGGCCCUGCUUUUGUGGGGUGCUCGAGUGGCGAACGGGUGAGUAACACGUGAGUAACCUGCCCUUGACUUUGGGAUAACUUCAGGAAACUGGGGCUAAUACCGGAUAGGAGCUCCUGCUGCAUGGUGGGGGUUGGAAAGUUUCGGCGGUUGGGGAUGGACUCGCGGCUUAUCAGCUUGUUGGUGGGGUAGUGGCUUACCAAGGCUUUGACGGGUAGCCGGCCUGAGAGGGUGACCGGCGGGAGGGGGGCAGGGAAGUCGGCAAGCCGCGGAGGGGGGGGGGGGGGGGGGUAGGUGGCACGGGGGGCGGGGUCCGGGUCCAGCGAGGCCGCGUGCGGUACGGCUGCCUGGGGUGUGGAUACCGGUUCUGUGGGGGGUGAUGCGGGAGGGAGGGGAAGGGGAAACGAGGCACCGGGGAACGACGUGCCAGCGCCCGGGGUAAGAUGAGGAGGAACACACGUAUGAAC